RNAcentral lists this long non-coding RNA (2858 nucleotides) under Solanum tuberosum (potato). RNAcentral describes it as "long non-coding RNA (STUB_LNC006799)". The record is from RNAcentral. Lineage: Eukaryota; Viridiplantae; Streptophyta; Magnoliopsida; Solanales; Solanaceae.
GCACGCCUCCUCCUUACAACCAAAAAAAAAACGAGUAAUGAACAUUGACGAUCCACCAACGUGCAAAAUAUCAUCACCCUUAUCUCUCUAUAAAUUGACAUCCACUUGCCAUAAACACUCAUAUCAAAAUCAAACUAACACAAGAAAAAAAAUAAAAAUCAUGAACACUCUCUUGUUACUAUUUUCACUUUCACUUUCAAUUAUUCCAUUUACCUUAUGUGUACCCAAUCCCUCAAGAAUACUCUCAUCAUCAUCUCCAGUUCUCGAUAUCAAUGGCGAUAAAGUUCAAGCAGGUCCCAAUUACUUCAUCUUACCCGUCAUUCGAGGAAAAGGCGGCGGACUUUACCCAUCCAACGUUAAACAACACAAUAGUACAUGUCCUAGAGACAUUGUUCAAGAGACCGACGAGGUACAACAAGGAUUGCCAGUAGUGUUUACACGUCUCGACGCGAAAAAAGGCGUCGUUCGUGUAUCUACUGAUGUUAAUGUUAGGUUUUAUACUCCGACGAUUUGUGCUAGAGAAACUAUUUGGAAACUUGGAGCGUAUGAUGACAAGUUGAAACAGUAUUUUGUUGUGACGGGUGGAGUUGAAGGUAACCCGGGUCCGCAAACGGUGGGUAAUUGGUUUAAGAUUGAGAAAUUCGGGUCGGAUUAUAAGUUUGUGUUUUGUCCAAGUGUGUGUGAGUUUUAUAAAGUUAUUUGUAAAGAUGUUGGGGUUUUUAUGAAGGAUGGAGUUAGGUUUUUGGCUCUUAGUGACACUCCAUUUAAAGUUAUGUUUAAGAAGACUUUUUGAUUGUGUAUUUUUUUUUUUUAAUUUGUCAAUUUUUAUGGUUAAUUGAAAGGUUUGGUUUAUAAUAAUAUUGUGUUUUUUAUGUAAUCUUGCUUAUGUUCGUUAAUUAACUUCGUCUUGGAUAUGAAAUGCGACUCUUUUAUCUUUUCAUUGUUGUUCAUCCUCCUGGCCAAAUAGAAAGUUGAAUUAUCAAAAAAAAAAACUCAUUAAAAAAUAAACGAUUGAUUUUUCUUAAAAAACUCAUCAAAAAUUUUACUUUUCAAUAUAUCGAUGUUUGAUUGAAUAUAAAAUUAAAGAAAUAUUUUUUUCGAAACUUUUGAUCUAAGAUGAAACUGAGAAAUAUUUAUGACUAAUUAUAACUCGAAUAUUUAGCAUAGAACUUGGGCAAAUUUAUCUCUUCAUUCACCUACAACAAUAUAUUUUCUUAGAAUAUAUGAAACAAGUGAAGUAUUGAUUAGCAAAUUAAGCCUAGUUUUAAUAGUAUUUGAAAAUGCUUUUAUAAUUAAUCCUUCAUUCUCUAUUUUACCACAAAUAAAAUUAUAGUAUGUUAUUAAGCAUUAUAUAUAUACACACGUGUGAUUAUAAAUUUUGUACCGAACUAUGAGUGAAAUUCAAUUCACUAUAAACAAUGAGUUUAUUUAUAAAAUAUAAAAAUUAUGGUAAUUUUAAUUUUUUUUAAAAUUUCUCAAAUAAUAGAAUUUAAUCAAAAUACUAGAUUUUUUCUUAUAUUUAGUAACUUUAAUUGUUUAUCAAAUAUGCCAAGUUAUUUGACACAAACAAUAUUUGCCAAGUUCUUCCUAUAUUUUUUGGAAUAUUUAUGUCCAAACACGUCACUGCGAACAUAAUUUCGAAAUUUCGAUCUGUUAAUUAAGUGUCAUGGAUUUUUAGAUGCAUUAAAGUCAACUUCUGGAAGACUUCUCCAGUCCAAUUAAGAUGUGCGUUCAUUAUUGACCAACUUAUGUCAAGAUCCAUUUCAGUUAUCAACAUCAUGCUUCGUCCGUUUCAAUUUUUAUGACACAUUUUGAUUUUGAGUUUUUACAUAUUUUAAAUUGUUAAUUAUUGUAAUUUAUAAUAUUUUUACGUAGUUUACAAAUAUAUAAAUUUUAUUUUAAAAAAAUUAACAAUUUCAUGCUCAAAUUUUGAGUUAAACUUAAACUGUUUGACUCUUAAAAAAUAAAAUGUGUCACAUAAAUAAAUUAGGAUAGAGAAAGUAUUAUUUUUGAAGUCAAAUAUUAUUACUCCUUUACUUAGCUUGAUCUUUAUAUCAAAUAAGUAUUUUAUUUUAUUUGUUUAUAUCUCUAACUAAUUUUUUUUAGGAAAUGUUUUAGAUUAACAAACGCCAAGUAGUAAUAUAAAACUAAGAGAUUAUUUAUUCAUAUAAAUAUUUUAAUUGAGUAUCCCAUUUUAAAAUUCAUUGAGCACGUUUGAUUUAAAAUUUCAGGGACCGCCACUAUUUAUUUUUUCUUUCACUACCAACAGAAAUUAAAGUAGCUUAUCCCUGGGCUAUAAAUUGACAUCCACUUCUGAUCAUUCAACACACCAAAGGACUCAUAUCACAAAAAAAUUGAAGAUUUCAUACUCAAAUUUCAUGCUCAAAUUUCGAGUUAAACUUAAACUAUUUGACUCUCGAAAAAUGAAACGUGUCACAUAAAUUAGCAUAGAGAUAAUAUUAUUUUUAAGUCAAAUAUUAUUACUCCUUUACUUAGCUUGAUAUAUCUUUAUAUCAAAUAAGUAUUUUAUUUUAUUUGUUUAUAUCUCUAACUAAUUUUUUUUUAGGAAAUGUUUGGGGUUUAUUAAAAAUCAAGUAAUAUAAUUCGAAGAGAUUAUUUAUUCAUAUAAUUUUUUUUUGACUGAGUAUCCCAUUUUAAAAAUCAUUGAACACGUUUGAUUUAAAAUUUCAGGGACCGCCACUAUUUUUUUUUUCUUUCACUACCAACAAAAAUUAAAGUAGCUUAUCCCUUAGCUAUAAAUUGACAUCCAAUUCUGAUCAUUCAACGCACCAAAAAAAAAUGAACAUUCUUUUGCUACUUUCAAUAAUUCCAUUUACCUUAGCAUCAUCGUCAUCGUC